CCUACGGGAGGCAGCAGUGAGGAAUAUUGGUCAAUGGGCGCGAGCCUGAACCAGCCAAGUCGCGUGAGGGAAGACGGUCCUAUGGAUUGUAAACCUCUUUUGUCGGGGAGCAAAAGACGCCACGCGUGGCGUUCCGAGAGUACCCGAAGAAAAAGCAUCGGCUAACUCCGUGCCAGCAGCCGUGGUAAUACGGAGGAUGCGAGCGUUAUCCGGAUUUAUUGGGUUUAAAGGGUGCGCAGGCGGAAGAUCAAGUCAGCGGUAAAAGUGAGAGGCUCAACCUCUUCGAGCCGUUGAAACUGGUUUUCUUGAGUGAGUGAGAAGUAUGCGGAAUGCGUGGUGUAGCGGUGAAAUGCAUAGAUAUCACGCAGAACUCCGAUUGCGAAGGCAGCAUACCGGCGCUCAACUGACGCUCAUGCACGAAAGUGUGGGUAUCGAACAGGAUUAGAUACCCUUGUAGUC
RNAcentral lists this ribosomal RNA (459 nucleotides) under uncultured bacterium. Its description in RNAcentral is "partial 16S ribosomal RNA". It matches the Rfam family "Bacterial small subunit ribosomal RNA", at positions 338 to 795 of the family's 1533-position model. The record is from RNAcentral.